This 462-nucleotide ribosomal RNA is filed under the name uncultured bacterium. RNAcentral's name for it is "bacterial SSU rRNA". It matches the Rfam family "Bacterial small subunit ribosomal RNA", at positions 28 to 508 of the family's 1533-position model. The record is from RNAcentral.
GACGAACGCUGGCGGCGUGCCUAACACAUGCAAGUCGAACGGGGUGUUCCUUCGGGAACACUUAGUGGCGAACGGGUGAGUAACGCGUGAGAAACCUGCCUUUCAGUGGGGGACAACAGUUGGAAACGACUGCUAAUACCGCAUAAUGUUAUUUGGGGGCAUCCCCGAAUAACCAAAGAUUUAUUGCUGAAAGAUGGUCUCGCGUCUGAUUAGCUAGUUGGUGAGGUAACGGCUCACCAAGGCGACGAUCAGUAGCCGGUCUGAGAGGAUGAACGGCCACAUUGGGACUGAGAUACGGCCCAGACUCCUACGGGAGGCAGCAGUGGGGAAUAUUGGGCAAUGGGGGAAACCCUGACCCAGCAACGCCGCGUGAAGGAAGAAGGCCUUCGGGUUGUAAACGUUCUUUACCUAGGACGAAGAACGUGACGGUACCUGGAGAAAAAGCAACGGCUAACUACGUAG